GACGAACGCCGGCGGCGUGCCUAAUACAUGCAAGUCGUGCGAACGAAGGAGGUGCUUGCACCUCCCAAGUUAGCGGCGGAUGGGUGAGUAACACGUGGGCAACCUGCCCUGCAGAUGGGGAUAACUCCGGGAAACCGGGGCUAAUACCGAAUAAUCCUACACUUCACAUGAAGCGUAGUUAAAAGACGGUUUCGGCUGUCACUGCAGGAUGGGCCCGCGGCGCAUUAGCUAGUUGGUGGGGUAAAGGCUCACCAAGGCGACGAUGCGUAGCCGACCUGAGAGGGUGAUCGGCCACACUGGGACUGAGACACGGGCCCAGACUCCUACGGGAGGCAGCAGUAGGGAAUCUUCCACAAUGGACGAAAGUCUGAUGGAGCGACGCCGCGUGAGUGAUGAAGGUUUUCGGAUCGUAAAGCUCUGUUGUGAGGGGAAGAACAAGUGCGAACUAACUACUCGCACCUUGACGGUACCUCGUUAGAAAGCCACGGCUAACUACGUGCCAGCCGCC
This 508-nucleotide ribosomal RNA is filed under the name uncultured Caryophanales bacterium. Its description in RNAcentral is "bacterial SSU rRNA". It matches the Rfam family "Bacterial small subunit ribosomal RNA", at positions 28 to 516 of the family's 1533-position model. Lineage: Bacteria; Bacillati; Bacillota; Bacilli; Caryophanales. The record is from RNAcentral.